Non-coding RNA from Myotis davidii, 73 nucleotides. NCBI's taxonomy places the organism in Eukaryota, Metazoa, Chordata, Mammalia, Chiroptera, Vespertilionidae. The record is from Rfam.
GCCGGUGUGGCUCAGUGGCUAGAGCGUUGGCCUGUGGACCAAAGGAUCCCGGAUUCGAUUCCGGUCAAGGGCA